AAAGUCGUAACAAGGUUUCCGUAGGUGAACCUGCGGAAGGAUCAUUAUCGAGUUUUGACCGGGUUGUAGCUGGCCUUCCGAGGCAUGUGCACGCCCUGCUCAUCCACUCUACACCUGUGCACUUACUGUGGGCUUCAGAUUGCGAGGCACGCUCUUUACCGGGCUUGCGGAGCAUAUCUGUGCCUGCGUUUAUCACAAACUCUAUAAAGUAACAGAAUGUGUAUUGCGAUGUAACACAUCUAUAUACAACUUUCAGCAACGGAUCUCUUGGCUCUCGCAUCGAUGAAGAACGCAGCGAAAUGCGAUAAGUAAUGUGAAUUGCAGAAUUCAGUGAAUCAUCGAAUCUUUGAACGCACCUUGCGCUCCUUGGUAUUCCGAGGAGCAUGCCUGUUUGAGUGUCAUGAAAUCUUCAACCUACAAGCUUUUGUGGUUUGUAGGCUUGGACUUGGAGGCUUGUCGGCCGUUAUCGGUCGGCUCCUCUUAAAUGCAUUAGCUUGGUUCCUUGCGGAUCGGCUCUCGGUGUGAUAAUGUCUACGCCGCGACCGUGAAGCGUUUGGCGAGCUUCUAACCGUCUUAUAAGACAGCUUUAUGACCUCUGACCUCAAAUCAGGUAGGACUACCCGCUGAACUUAAGCAUAUCAAUAAG
RNAcentral lists this ribosomal RNA (646 nucleotides) under Ganoderma sichuanense. RNAcentral describes it as "eukaryotic LSU rRNA". The stretch from base 248 to 401 matches the Rfam family "5.8S ribosomal RNA". Lineage: Eukaryota; Fungi; Basidiomycota; Agaricomycetes; Polyporales; Polyporaceae. The record is from RNAcentral.